CUAAUACAUGCAAGUCGUACGCUGAAGCGCUCUGCUUGCAGAGCGCGGAUGAGUGGCGAACGGGUGAGUAACACGUGGGCAACCUGCCUGUAAGAUCGGGAUAACUCCGGGAAACCGGGGCUAAUACCGGAUAACCCGUGCCUCCUCCUGGAGGCGCGUUGAAAGGCGGCUUCGGCUGUCGCUUACAGAUGGGCCCGCGGCGUAUUAGCUUGUUGGUGGGGUAACGGCCCACCAAGGCGACGAUGCGUAGCCGACCUGAGAGGGUGAUCGGCCACACUGGAACUGAGACACGGUCCAGACUCCUACGGGAGGCAGCAGUAGGGAAUCUUCCGCAAUGGGCGAAAGCCUGACGGAGCAACGCCGCGUGUGCGAAGAAGGUCUUCGGAUCGUAAAGCACUGUUGUUAAGGAAGAACGACAGUAAGAGUAACUGCUUACUGUGUGACGGUACUUAACCAGAAAGCCACGGCUAACUACGUGCCAGCAGCCGCGGUAAUACGUAGGUGGCAAGCGUUAUCCGGAAUUAUUGGGCGUAAAGCGCGCGUAGGCGGCGAGAUUAGUCUGAUGUGAAAGCCCCCGGCUCAACCGGGGAAGGUCAUUGGAAACUGUUUCGCUUGAGUGCAGAAGAGGAGAGUGGAAUUCCAUGUGUAGCGGUGAAAUGCGCAGAGAUAUGGAGGAACACCAGUGGCGAAGGCGGC
Molecule: ribosomal RNA, 696 nt
Filed under: uncultured bacterium
Lineage: Bacteria
Description: bacterial SSU rRNA
Rfam family: Bacterial small subunit ribosomal RNA
Source: RNAcentral